Molecule: long non-coding RNA, 2565 nt
Organism: Branchiostoma belcheri (Belcher's lancelet)
Lineage: Eukaryota; Metazoa; Chordata; Leptocardii; Amphioxiformes; Branchiostomatidae
Exons: 2
Source: RefSeq, a predicted model, not a curated record
CAGUGUUGGGUUAGAAAUUGUCCUACCAUUGUUAAUAACAACAUUUCAUCUCUGUUGUCACAGGGGAGGAGGGCAGGCUGGCCUUUGAGCACAUGGGGUCGUUACCAGGGUUACCAAGGGUCAUGUCGGAGACAGGUACCCCUCAGGAAGCACAGACGUCCUUCUGAGAACAAGUCAGCUCCACAGAUACAGUGUCAGGUGAAGAAGCAGUCAUAACAGUGUCUAACUGUAAAGAAAGAUGUUCUCAAUACACAGUAAUCACAAUGCAUCUCAGUAAUCACAGUCAAAUCUGUCAUGCCAGAAAGCAUGUACAAAAAUGUAUGUAUGCUGUCAAUUGUCUCCAAUGAAUGACACAGCCAUUAAGUUCAACAGCCCUCUGCAACAUCUCAGUGUAAAGAUGUAAAAGGUGUAACUGAGAAAAAAAAACAAGUCAUAGUGGGAGCCAACCCUGAUACACAAAAAAGGUGUAAAGACACAGUUAAGCCUAUCUUGCCAGAAAGUAGUAGAUGAUAUGUAUAUUGUCAGUAAGGAGGUAUAAAAGAACUGUUUCUCAAUCAGUGAAUAACAGUGCAAUGCAACUUUGUCAUGCCAAGUGUAUUGAAGUGUUAGGAAGAAGCCAGACUACAUGUAAGUCAGCUAUGAAGUGAUACAGCAUUCUGGUCUGACAACAGAUUUGGUACUUGUUGCAUUAUUGAAGGAAAGCUACAUUCUAGCAUCCUUGUUCAAAAAGUGUUGCACCCAGUUAGACCCAGUUUCACCCAAUUUUAUACCUACGUAACACUUAGACCCACUGUUACCUGCCACAUAAUACUCAUCUAAGAGAAAGACACGAUGUCAUCCCCGCUUCAGUAACAGAUGAACAAACUCUCACAGCCCAGAUACUGACAGCACUCAAGUAAACCCACGAAUUCCUAAAUAACGUCAUCCUCCUAAGUUACACUAAUAGACCCAUUUUACCUCUCAGAUAAUGGCAACUAUAGCAGACCCAAUGUCACAAGAUGCAUAACAUCUCCACCCCAGUCACUGAUAGGCCAGUUUCUCCACCCAUCACAGAUAGACAGUUUCACUACUCCCAGUGAUAGACCCAAUUUACUUACAGACGUAGUUUCAGUGCCCAGAUACCAGACCCACUAUCUGUAGAUAAUGUUGAUAGGAUGACCAACCACCAGUCAUGCAUAUAUACAUGUAUAUAAGUAUAUGAAGGCUCAAGGGCCAGUGAUGCAAUGACUAAGUGCCACUUGUCUUCCAUAUUUCCUCAAACUUAUCAAUUUUCUUGGGUUAUUUGUGUGAGAAAUCCUGUACAAUAUCAGAUGUGACAUUAUAUCCAAACCUUGCAGUUAAGGCGUAGAUGAUACAUGUAAGAAUAACAGCAAAUUGAAUAUUUGAUGUUGGAUGUGAUAGAUAUUUUACCUUGUACCAUACUGUCCACCUAACAAUGUCAUUUAAGAAGAGGACUAACUAACUUGCUGUUUUUUGCCAGCUCAAUUGUUUUUUUGUAAAGUAACCUGGCAGCAGUGAAAGGUGUACUUGCUAAUUGACUGCCUGUAUUUAUUGCAGUGGAACAAUUCAAAUGUGCAAAGCGUUACAGCUUGGUCCAUGUUGAUAAUAGAAAUAGUGGAAAUUUUGAUAUUCAGAAUUGUAAUUAGUUAGAAUAAGUUAAGGAAAACUGUGAUAUUUAGGGGUCCGUGUAUAAACUUUAAGCUAUGUGCACUGCCUAUGUUAAGCUUUCAUGAAGCUAUAUCAUUUCAGAUCUAUCACUUGUCUUAUUAUUUUAUAUUUAUUGUACAGUUUCAAAACCAUCAGGUUGUUGAUUUGUCAGCACCUAUCAUCUCAUUGAAAAAAAUGUGUUUGUUGCUAAAGAAUGUUGAUUGGAGAGUGUUAUAUUUAUUUUCAUUACUACCACUGCUAUGUUUUGUUUACAUUUUAGAGACAGUGGAAGAGCAUUUUGCAUAUUAACUUCUCAAGCCAUAAUUUUCAAAGCUGAAGUAUUAUCUUGUCACUUUUGAACAUUUGUCUGGCUUUGCAAUGUAGCAUUUGUGUACCAUUCUUAUAUUGUAUCAAUAAUCAGAUUUAUUUAUCAGCAAGUAUUGAUAUUCAACUUUAAAAAGAUAUUAUAUCCAUUUUUUCUGGAGAUCAGAAAGUUUUUGCUAGAUGAUGCAGGUUUCCCGGACAUGGCAGUUAAGUUAACCUGCAACAAAAAUCAUGUCCUUAAGGCUUAAGUUGUGUAUAGAUAACAGAGUUUGUAUAAUUUUAUAGCGAGGCAGAUAUUAGCUCAGACCUCUUUUCGUUAAUUCGUCAUCGGACCCUAUUUUUGCCGGAUUUAACUAAAUUCUACUAUCCUUAGGAAGGCCUGGUAGAGGCUAAUCAUUGAAGCCAUAUGAUACCGGGUAAUGUAACAUAAUGUAAUAUAAUGACUUUAUUUUCUUGUCAUUAUUCGUUAUAAGUUCCAUGAAUAUGUUAUUUAUGUAAGACCUAAGUUCUAAUACCCAACUGUAUGAAGACAAUGGAAGAUAUGACUUCAGCAAUCUUAUCAACAACCAAGAAGGAAUAAAAAAUGAUGUGACU